GUAGGAUGCAAGCGUUAUCCGGAUUUACUGGGUGUAAAGGGAGCGCAGGCGGGACUGCAAGUUGGAUGUGAAAUACCGUGGCUUAACCACGGAACUGCAUCCAAAACUGUAGUUCUUGAGUGAAGUAGAGGCAAGCGGAAUUCCGAGUGUAGCGGUGAAAUGCGUAGAUAUUCGGAGGAACACCAGUGGCGAAGGCGGCUUGCUGGGCUUUAACUGACGCUGAGGCUCGAAAGUGUGGGGAGCAAACAGGAUUAGAUACCCUGGUAGUCCACACUGUAAACGAUGAUAGCUAGGUGUGGGGGGUCUGACCCCUUCCGUGCCGGAGUUAACGCAAUAAGCUAUCCACCUGGGGAGU
RNAcentral lists this ribosomal RNA (355 nucleotides) under uncultured bacterium. Its description in RNAcentral is "bacterial SSU rRNA". It matches the Rfam family "Bacterial small subunit ribosomal RNA", at positions 527 to 881 of the family's 1533-position model. The record is from RNAcentral.